AUUGAACGCUGGCGGCAUGCCUUACACAUGCAAGUCGAACGGCAGCACGGGAGCAAUCCUGGUGGCGAGUGGCGAACGGGUGAGUAAUAUAUCGGAACGUGCCCGGUCGUGGGGGAUAACGUAGCGAAAGCUACGCUAAUACCGCAUACGAUCUACGGAUGAAAGCGGGGGAUCGCAAGACCUCGCGCGAUUGGAGCGGCCGAUAUCAGAUUAGGUAGUUGGUGAGGUAAAGGCUCACCAAGCCGACGAUCUGUAGCUGGUCUGAGAGGACGACCAGCCACGACUGGGACUGAGACACGGCCCAGACUCCUACGGGAGGCAGCAGUGGGGAAUUUUGGGACAAUGGGCGCAAGCCU
RNAcentral lists this ribosomal RNA (356 nucleotides) under uncultured bacterium. Its description in RNAcentral is "bacterial SSU rRNA". It matches the Rfam family "Bacterial small subunit ribosomal RNA", at positions 30 to 384 of the family's 1533-position model. The record is from RNAcentral.